AUUGAACGCUGGCGGCAUGCCUUACACAUGCAAGUCGAACGGUAACAGGUCUUCGGAUGCUGACGAGUGGCGAACGGGUGAGUAAUACAUCGGAACGUGCCCAGACGUGGGGGAUAACGAGGCGAAAGCUUUGCUAAUACCGCAUACGAUCUAAGGAUGAAAGCAGGGGACCGCAAGGCCUUGCGCGUUUGGAGCGGCCGAUGGCAGAUUAGGUAGUUGGUGGGAUAAAAGCUUACCAAGCCGACGAUCUGUAGCUGGUCUGAAAGGACGACCAGCCACACUGGGACUGAGACACGGCCCAGACUCCUACGGGAGGCAGCAGUGGGGAAUUUUGGACAAUGGGCGAAAGCCUGAUCCAGCAAUGCCGCGUGCAGGAUGAAGGCCUUCGGGUUGUAAACUGCUUUUGUACGGAACGAAAAGGCUCUGGCUAAUACCUGGGGCACAUGACGGUACCGUAAGAAUAAGCACCGGCUAACUACGUG
Molecule: ribosomal RNA, 482 nt
Filed under: uncultured bacterium
Lineage: Bacteria
Description: partial 16S ribosomal RNA
Rfam family: Bacterial small subunit ribosomal RNA
Source: RNAcentral